RNAcentral lists this ribosomal RNA (394 nucleotides) under uncultured bacterium. RNAcentral's name for it is "partial 16S ribosomal RNA". It matches the Rfam family "Bacterial small subunit ribosomal RNA", at positions 338 to 729 of the family's 1533-position model. The record is from RNAcentral.
CCUACGGGAGGCAGCAGUGAGGAAUAUUGGUCAAUGGCCGGAAGGCUGAACCAGCCAAGUCGCGUGAAGGAUGAAGGCGCUAAGGAUUGUAAACUUCUUUUGUAAAGGGAUAAAAUGAGGCUCGUGUGCCUGUUUGUGGGUACUUGAUGAAUAAGCAUCGGCUAACUCCGUGCCAGCAGCCGCGGUAAUACGGAGGAUUCGAGCGUUAUCCGGAUUUAUUGGGUUUAAAGGGAGCGUAGGCGGGAUGUUAAGUCAGCGGUGAAAGGCCGGGGCUCAACCCUGGCAGUGCGGUGGAAACUGGCUGGCUUGAGUGGUCGGGAGGUAUGCGGAAUGCGCGGUGUAGCGGUGAAAUGCUUAGAUAUUACGCAGAACUCCGAUUGCGAAGGCAGCAUAC